Molecule: ribosomal RNA, 307 nt
Filed under: uncultured bacterium
Lineage: Bacteria
Description: partial 16S ribosomal RNA
Rfam family: Bacterial small subunit ribosomal RNA
Source: RNAcentral
UGGGGAAUAUUGCACAAUGGGCGAAAGCCUGAUGCAGCGACGCCGCGUGCGGGAUGAAGGCCUUCGGGUUGUAAACCGCUUUUGAUUGGGAGCAAGCGAGAGUGAGUGUACCUUUCGAAUAAGCACCGGCUAACUACGUGCCAGCAGCCGCGGUAAUACGUAGGGUGCAAGCGUUAUCCGGAAUUAUUGGGCGUAAAGAGCUCGUAGGCGGUUUGUCGCGUCUGGUGUGAAAGUCCAUCGCUUAACGGUGGAUCUGCGCCGGGUACGGGCAGGCUAGAGUGCGACAGGGGGAGACUGGGAAUUCCCG